UCCAAAUGAUCAACGUCAAUCAUCAACCAUUGUUUCAAUUUGUCUUUAUCUGGAGUAGCAUCGUCGUCUUCUUCUUUUUUAUCUUCUUUUUCUUCAGCAGCAUCUUCAACACCAGUAUCUUGUUCUGGAUGCUGCGAUUUAAAAGCAUUGAUGUGUUUCUUGGCCUUAGAAGUUAGAUCAGCGACUUCAGUGGAAAAUCUGUGAAAGUGCUUCUUCAUCAUUUUAGGAUCAACGACCAGAGAUUUCCGCAGCUUGCAAACGCACCUCAUUUGCAGAGGAUUGCUCGAUUCAACCAUACAAAGGAUUUCGAUCAUCAGUUCAUUCGGGAUCAUAGUGAUCGGUGACUCCGCCAUCAUCGCCGUCGUUAAGGUUUCGAUGUUUUUCCAUUUUGGGGUUUUAG
Molecule: long non-coding RNA, 400 nt
Filed under: Medicago truncatula (barrel medic)
Lineage: Eukaryota; Viridiplantae; Streptophyta; Magnoliopsida; Fabales; Fabaceae
Description: long non-coding RNA (MTRU_LNC008094)
Source: RNAcentral